UGGUGUGUGUGUGUGUGGAUACAUGGAUACAUAUAUACAUCUAUGUGCAUAUUUAUACGUAUGUAUGUUUAUACAGAUGUAUUUAUGUAUCUUAGCCGUAUCAUAUCCUACUUUUUCAAGGUUUGCUAUGUUCAUGUAUCCAUAUGGUGUCGAAUCUCCUUAUCUCAUAUCCAUAUCUUUGUUUCAUAAUUGAUAUAUCAAUAUGCCACUUACAUAUACACAUAUAUACAUAUGUGUAUAUAUCUAUGUAUCUUAGCCAUGCAUAUCCUACUUCUUCAAGAUUUGCCGAAUCAGCAUAUCCAUAUCCUGUUGUAUCUGUACCUCUAUCCAUAUCCAUGCAGUAUGGGCAUGCAUUCACCAUUUUUGCAGUCACAUAUUGGCUCCUCUAUCACUAUCUCUUUUGGUUAGCUCCAAGUUCUUGCUAUUCAAGUUAAUUUGAUUUCAGAUUUUCUAGUGUUUCUGCUUAUUCGUUUCUCUAAUUGACAUGUCUUUUAUGCUUCUUGGUGCAUUUUGAUCAACUUCCUCAUCUCCAGUGAUUUCAGACAUAUUUUAGCACUCUGUUGCGAAGCGUUCUAGUCAAAUGGUAUUGCUGUGUAUAAUGUUGGUAGACUACAGAUUUAUUGCAUUAGAAAAGAGUACAUCAGAUGAAGCCCAUGUUCUGUAUCAAAGAUGUUAAAUUAAGAAAAGAUCAUAUAAGUUGGUUAUGUACAUGUGCAACAAAGCAGAUUAAGGACAAUCCUUUGCAAGAUAUGAUGUAGAACAUGAGGGUUUGGAAUGACAUGUAAAUAGUGAGAAAAUUUUCUUUUGGAUGAAAAUUAGUGAGACAAAAUUUGGGAAACUUGGUAGAUAAGAACCAUCAGUGAGAUGGUAAUGCUGUCGAUGUAGCAGGCUACCAAACUGACAGGAUAUGACUUGUUUUUCUGUUUAUUUUGGUUAAUAUCUACUGGUUUUUUUUUCUUUUUCAAGUAUGAAUCACAAGUAGGACCAGAUCACAUCUGUACUUCAUCUCUACGUCACUGGUUAAUUAUAUAUUUCUUCUUUAAUCUUCCCCUUUUCUUAUAUUUGAAUUAAGAGCUUAUUGCAUUCUUUCCUUUUCUUUUUCCUGCACAUGCUUUCUUUCUGUUUUGAUUCAACUGUUUUUAGACAAUCAUCCCACACUGAGUCCCUUCACUGUUCCAAGUUACCAUUACAUUUUUGUUCUUUUGCAGUAUCUGCUCUCUGGAAAGACAGAAGCCUGUAUUUGUGAUAGAUGUAUGGUUCAAAGUCAAAGGAUAAGUUUUAAGCAGUUAAGAUGCAAGAUGAUUGAAUAACAUAAUCGAUUACAGAGAAACUCGAUAUAAUGAAGGAGAGAAGGAUUGUCCUGGAUCAUUGACUGGUAUAGGGAGUCACAUUGUAGAGAAGCUUUGCAAAUAAGUAUUCUAUGUGUAAGAUUUAAGGUAGUUGCCGAUGUUGGAUUGAGUGACUGAACAAAUGAAUCUUAAGCAUACAAAUUAAUCUAGAAUAUUUGGAAAGCUUCAUCAAGAUACACUCUACAAUCAAUCUCUUAAAAGAGGGUUUUCAGACAAUAUUCUGGCAACUAGCUGUUCAACUAAUAUCUCUAAAAAGAGACUUUUCAGACAAUAUUCUGGCAACUAACUGUUCAACUGCUGUCCCAAUCAAUUAACAAGACAUGAUUUUAAAGAAUUUAAUGGUGCUAUUAUCAUUGCAUGUUGAUUUAAAUGCUCUUGGCAGACUCCUAGAUGGUACUUUCUCUGUUGUUUCAGAGAAGAGUAAGUGUGCUUGGGAACCUGGAGCAUUGAGCAAUCUGAGAUUUGUGUUGAUCAUAAAGCUAUUCAUUGAUGGAAGGGCUGGGACAUCCAUUAGGGCAUCUAUAUUGAAGAUUUGUGGAGAGGAUGGCUUUUGACAUGUUCCUAGUGGCAUGACAUGAGCCAUUGAUAUGGUGAAGUAUUAAGCAAGAAUAUGACCAUCUUUUCUUUUGUGGCCAAUAUAUUUGAAUUCACAGAAGAAAACUUAAGCAAGUUCAAGUUAUGGAAUUGAGUAAAUAACUAGUGAUAGCCAUUGAAGUAUAAGAACUAUAUACUUGUAAUCUUAACAGUAAUCUUUAUGUGUUGGACAGGAAAAAAAAACUUGAGCAAACAUCUCAAAGCUAUAACUACUCAACAUAGUAAAUAUUAAUAAAGGUAGUACCAGUAAAAUUUGUCCAAGACUAAUUAUCUGACCUUAACCAUUAGAAGGACCUUCAAACGUGAUUAAUUCUACACGAUGCAAAAUGUCUGCUUGAACAAACCUUAAUAUUGAGUAGAUGUUGACUUAUUGACUCGUACUCAACCACUCUAAUGAAGUUUUUUAUGAUGGUUGGUGGGAUCAAAUAUCAUUGUGCGUCAAGGUAUCAUGGAGCUUGUUGUUAGCUUUUCCGUAAUACACAAUAUUAGUUAGAGAUCCAAUUUGGAUGUUUUGGCCUUCCGAAGUUAUUAUUGAUUCAGCAAUAUAUAAUACGUGCCAUUUGGAUAUCCAGUUGAAAAUUUAUGCAUUGAAAAUUUAUUGUGUGCUUAUAGUGAUUGUUCUUGCUUAAAUUCAUCUAUUUGACUUCUUUUUGUCCUUGAUGUUCUUUAUGACCAAUUCUGCACCAGCUUCGCUUUGUGAUUGCCUAUGUUACCUGAAUGUGGUUUAUAGGACUCUCUUUUCAUUUAUGGCACUUUAAAGGAUCCCACACUACCCAUGACUUACUGGAAAUUUUUUUAGCUUUGAGUAUGGAAGGUCUGCUUAGUGAUUCACUUACCAAUUUAAUGAUGGUUAAUGCAGCUUGUAUAUUUCUGACAUGUUAUGUAUGUAUUCAUAUGAAGAUCGAUUAUCCAAAAAGCACUAAUGGUCCUCCUCUUGCUACAUUUAGGAAAAAAGAGCUUUUGUCAUUUGAUUGGAUUCUUCAAUGUCCAAUGAGAGAUUUGAGAGGGGGUAUAAAGAAGGCCUCAAAGUAAAAGGAGAGGAAAAGUCUUUCAUCAAAUAAAGGGGAAAGCACCACUUAAAUUUAUCAACUUUAAUGGGAAGGAGAGCACCUUUGAUGCAUUUACACCAAGCUUAAGUUGAUUAUGGACCCUCAAAAGAAAAAGCCUUCCUACCAAAACAGCGUGAUGCAAUAGUUACUUACAGGAAUGAGUAAAAGAAGUGGCUUUCCAGUUACUUUUACUGAAAGCAUUGCAUAGAUUCUUUCUAUUCCAGUUUCGAUGGAUAUUAUUUCUGAUGCCCACCACAUUAUUUCAUAGAACCAUUUACUGUAGGAUCUUCAUCCUAGUUUGUCAUACCAUUCAUGGACAUCAGGAAAAAUUCUCUGUUCUAGAAGUUCUUGAUCCCUCACUUCCAGUUUGGUUAUUGUCUUUUCUGUUGAUUGCCACCAAAAACCUAUGCUAUUUCUUAAUGAUCCCAGCUUUUCCACAUCAACAUCAACUUUCUAAAAUGAAUAUUGUGUUAUUUUUUUUUGUUUCCUGUAGAUUCUGUAGCUAGCGUGAUAAUUAUCAUCCUGAGCAAACAUCUGGUAGGUAAUACGCAUGUUGUUAUAUUGCCUUUUAGUGAGAUCGGAUGCUAUUGUGCUUGUAAUAUUUCUUGAAAGGGGUUCUGUUGUUAUUAUAAUACACCUGUUUCUGAUUGUUAAGGAUCUGAUUAUCUAUGUACAUGUUCAAGUAGAUUUCCUGAGAAGGAUGCUUGAUGAUGUUUGUUUUGUAAUACGUUAGUUUUUACUAAAUGUGUGACACGAUUAACUUUUAGUGCAUCGAAAGAAAACUUGCUGUAUUUGGAAUUGGACACGCAACUUUAUGCAGGUUUCUUGUAUUGGUUUCAACAAGAAUGGAUUAUCUGACAUUCUAUGGGUACAUUGAAUUAUACGUGCACCAAUUGCGAUAAAAAAGAAUGAAGGUUAUUACUUGAUAGGUCUCUCUUUCACACACAAACCCGACUUGCUUUUAUCCGAGUUGGCCAUAGCUUCUUAGCCUUUAAAGUUUGUCGAUAUGUUGGUCGGAAAAGGGCAUCUUGCUUGGCCUUUUCUGAGUGUCGGUGAGCAAGAAUCAUUUUCACAGUUUGGUGUCUUCUUCCUAUUGGCAGCUUUCCUUUAGUUUUCAACUUUCGCCUUUUGAUUUAUCCUUUGAUAAUGGUGUUGCACCAAUCACACGUGCUGCCAUUGAUGUACCACCACCCACUAACAUGUGAUAGGUGGAUCUGCAGUAUGUUUCAUAUGUUGAUGAUGUGAAAAUUGGUGCACGUAUGAUGAGACGAAAUUCCAAGUUGAGAAUUAAAAGUAUGAAUAUAAGAUAGCAUUGUUUAUGAGCAUAAAUUUAUUGUGAUUGAUUUUAAAUUCUCUCAGAUCAAACUUAGUUUUAACUCUCUAUGUUAUUACGAGUUGAAUAAAGAUGUGUGUAGUAUUAGUGGAGUCGGAUGAAUGGAAUAAAAAUUAUGUUUUGCUUGUAAGUGGAACUACAAAUUUAUGCUAUACAAAUAUGUGCAGAAAAUAAUCCCGGGCAACGAGCAGCUAGCAACUCCACAAAUAAUAGCCGGCACUCAUAUUUCUCGGUGGAAUUGCGUAUAAACUUUUGGGGGAAGUAUUUCAUGUGAAUCAAAUAUUACUAAAGGACGAGCGAGUAUCGUUCUCAUCGCGUCUGAUUGUUUGUUUCCCGUUUUUUGCAUCCAGUAUGAAUUUCCAAAGGCCAACUAUCGCCCAAUCCUUUUGCCAAAAAAAAAAAAAAAACAGAAAUACUGCCCAAUCCAAAAAAAA
This is a non-coding RNA of Elaeis guineensis (African oil palm), 4759 nucleotides long. The record is from RefSeq and is a predicted model, not a curated record. NCBI's taxonomy places the organism in Eukaryota, Viridiplantae, Streptophyta, Magnoliopsida, Arecales, Arecaceae.